RNAcentral lists this RNase P RNA (452 nucleotides) under Candidatus Uhrbacteria bacterium. RNAcentral describes it as "RNase P RNA component class A". It matches the Rfam family "Bacterial RNase P class A". Rfam says of the family: Ribonuclease P (RNase P) is a ubiquitous endoribonuclease, found in archaea, bacteria and eukarya as well as chloroplasts and mitochondria. The record is from RNAcentral. Lineage: Bacteria; Candidatus Uhriibacteriota.
CUGGCAAAACAGAUGAUCGCCUUUGUUCGCAAGAACAGGGGAGGAAAGUCCGAGCUCCGAAUCCGUCGCAAGGCGGAGGAAAGCGAAAGCGGUUAACGACCGCCGGGAUAUAAAGCAAAUGGAAGGAACACGUGUCUCUCCAUUUACGGAAACCCAGGGAAAGUGCCACAGAGACUAUACUAGCCCCGUGACGCGCAAGCGUUUUACGGGGUGAAACGUGAAAAGUGCGGACAGGUGGUGCGGCGCAAGCCGUUCUGCGAGUCCGCUCGGCUGCCGGUAACGGCAGUUUGCGGCAAACCCUUUCUGGUGCAAGAGCAAGAGUCGGUGAUCGCAAGAUUGCUGGCAAUGGUCGCUCGCUAGAGCCGUGCAGUAAUGCGCGGCCCAGAGAGAUGGUCAUCCUGUCUGCUGCAAAGCAGGCACGACAAAACUCGGCUUACCGUUUCGCCCGGCAC